RNAcentral lists this ribosomal RNA (253 nucleotides) under uncultured bacterium. RNAcentral's name for it is "partial 16S ribosomal RNA". It matches the Rfam family "Bacterial small subunit ribosomal RNA", at positions 524 to 776 of the family's 1533-position model. The record is from RNAcentral.
GACGGAGGGGGCUAGCGUUAUUCGGAAUUACUGGGCGUAAAGGGCGCGUAGGCGGAUUAGUAAGUUGGGGGUGAAAGCCCGGGGCUUAGCCUCGGAACUGCUUUCAAAACUGCUAGUCUUGAGUGAAGUAGGGGGUGAUGGAAUUCCUAGUGUAGAGGUGAAAUUCUUAGAUAUUAGGAGGAACACCGGUGGCGAAGGCGGUCACCUGGACUUCAACUGACGCUGAGGCGCGAAAGCGUGGGGAGCAAACAGG